AACGCACAUUGCGCCCAUUAGUAUUCUAGUGGGCAUGCCUGUUCGAGCGUCAUUUCAACCCUUAAGCCUUCUGUUGCUUAGCGUUGGGGGCCUACCGUAUGGCGGUAGCCCCUUAAAAUUAGUGGCGGAGUCGGUUCACACUCUAGACGUAGUAAAUAUUAUCUCGCCUAUUAGUUGGACCGGUCCCCUGCCGUAAAACCCCUAAUUUAUCAAGGUUGACCUCGGAUCAGGUAGGAAUACCCGCUGAACUUAA
Molecule: unclassified non-coding RNA, 253 nt
Filed under: uncultured Xylariales
Lineage: Eukaryota; Fungi; Ascomycota; Sordariomycetes; Xylariales
Description: sequence contains 5.8S rRNA gene, ITS2, 28S rRNA gene
Source: RNAcentral